GUAAUCGUAGAUAAGAACGCUACGGUGAAUACGUACUCGGAUUUUGCACAAACUGCCCGUCACGCGCUGGGAGUUGAUCAGGCUUUAAGGGUAAACUAUGCAAUUAAACUUAACAAUUUAGUUGUUUUGGUGCUCGACAGUGGGGUCGGUAACCGGGGUGAAGUCGUAACAAGGUAGUUGUAGGGGAACCUGUAGCUGGAGAAGUUGUAUUAUCAUAAAAAUAAGGACAUAACAUUAUUCUUUUUUGUUAAUAAUAUCAAUUUUUAUUCAAUGAAAAUCUAGGCAAUAAAGCUAGGUUUUAGUAAAAAAAUAUUCACCUAAAGGGUGGUGAAGUAACCUGGGAGAAAUCUAAUCUUUUUUUUUGGGAAUUGAAACAUCUUAGUACCAUUUUAAAAACCAUUAGGGACUUCACUAGUAGCGGUGAGCAAACGUGGAUUAGUCUAUUUCAUACAUUGAAAACAUAGUAAAUAAAAGUUGAAGAUAGGGGCCCAUUCUCUAAGACUACAGCAAUUUUUUUUGACCGAUAGCGAAAUAGUACUGUGAAGGAAUGAUGAAAUAACAACUAACAAAAGAGUGUAAUAGCGGUAUAAUUGAAUAAGAAUAGCAUAGCAGUAUUCCUUACUUGCUUUUACCUUUUGCAUAAUGGAUCAACAACUUGAUUAUGUAAGCAAAGUUAAUCUUAUAAGUUUGGUUAAUACAAAAAAGUUUACUUAAUCAGACUCGAAACCAAAUGAUCUAUUUGUAGACAAGCUGAAUGUAGUGCUUACGCAUUAUUGGAAGGCUGAACCCGUGCCUGUUGCAAAAGUUUGGGAGGAUCUACAAUUAGGGGUGAAAGGCUAAUCAAAUUUGGAGAUAUCUGGUUUUCCGCGAAAUCUAUUUUAGUAGAGCAUUUUAAUAAAUGAGGAUAUGGGGUAAAGCACUAUUGUAUAAAGGGCGGCUUGCCCGGCUGUACUAAUGUACGAUAAACUUUGAAUACAUAUCUUUUAUUUAAAAUAGACAGUCUUGGAAUGUGAAGGUUCUAGGUCAAAAGGGAAACAGCCCUGACUACUUAUUAAGAUCCAUAAAUACUGUACUUUAAGGUUAUUACUUCUCUCAGACGACUGAGAGAUGCGCCUGGAAUCAGCUAUUCUUUAAAGAAAUCGUAAAAGAUCAUCAGUUUAGAGGGGUAAUACCAAUAAUUUUUUUGGACGUUAAAUGGUAUUUCGAAAUAGUAGGUAUCCUAUGAUACGGUAGCGGAACGUUAUGUUUUUUUACUAAUUUUUGUUAAAAAAUUUUAAAAAUCAUAAUUGAUUUUGUUGAUAUGAGUAACGCAAAAUAAUUUUUAUUAUCACCUAAUAAUAAAGGUUCUGAAAAGGAUAAUACGAUCUCUAAAGUUACAAAGUAAAUUAAUAUUUAACAAUCAAACUGAGGAGAAUAAAACAAUAGUAAAAGAUUAAAAAAGACUAAAGUAAUUUAUUAAAAUUAUGAAUACAUUUUUUGAGCUAGAAAAUCUAAUUGUUUUUAAAUCGUUCUAAAACCGACACUGGUAUUUGGUGGACAACACUAAGGUGAUAAAGUUAACAAUGUCGAAGGAACUCGGCAAAUUAACUCCGUAACUUCGGGAUAAGGAGGGAUGCUGAUGUUAAUUUUUAACAUCGGUAACCGACAGAAAAAUGAGAGGGGCGACUGUUUAUUAAAAACACAAGACUCAGCUAAAUUUUAAAUGCUGUAUUGGGUCUGAGACCUGCCCGGUGCCCUGUCGUGAAAAGGAGAAGUUAAAGGCUUUAAUUUGAAUCCAGGGUAAACGGCGGCUGUAACCUUGACGGUCCUAAGGUAGCGAAAUUCCUUGUCGGGUAAGUUCCGACGUGCAUGAGUGGUAUAACGACCUCUUUACUGUCUCCGACGUUGGCUUUGUGAAAUUGAAAUUCCCGUGCAGAUGCGGGAUAUAUGCAGAUAGACGGAAAGACCCCGUGCACCUUUACUAUAGUUUUUCAUUGUUUAAUUUAAGUAGAUGCGUAGUAUAGAUGGUAAACUUUAAUAAAAGGUCCAGGCUAAUUAAAACGUUAACAGUGAAAUAACAUCCUUUUAUUUACUUUAAAAUUGAUCCUGUGUUUGGUAAGAUACAGAUUUUUAAAAUGUUUAACGGGUAGUUUGACUGGGGCGGUAACCUCCUAAAAUGUAACGGGGGUACACAAAGGUAAGUUAAAAAAUAAAAUCUUUUAAGUCCAAUGGCUAAAAUUUACUUAACUGCUAGAGAGACAUCUCAAGCAGAGAUGAAAGUCGGUCAUAGUGACCCGAUAAUCUUGUAUGGAAAAGUUAUCGUCUACGGAUAAAAGGUACGCCGGGGAUAACAGGCUGAUAGUUCUUGAGAGUCCUCAUUGACGGAAUUGUUUGGCACCUCGAUGUCGACUCGUCACAUCCUGGAGCUGUAGGAGGUUCCUAGGGUUCGGCUGUUCGCCGAUUAAAGUGGUACGUGAGUUGGGUUUAAAACGUCGUAAGACAGUUUGGUCCCUAUCUUCUGUAUAUUAGAAUAAUUUGCAAAAUUUAAUCUAGUACGAGAGGGCCGAUGAGACUGCAUUGAUAGUCAAAUAGUUGUUUGUUGCAUAGCUAUUUAGCUAUGUUCAGUAUAUAUAACCGCUGAAAGCAUCUUAAGUGGGAAGAUAAAUUGCAAAAAUUCGUCUUAUGCGUGUAAUUAAAUUAUUACUAUUUAGGUUCUGGUUAUUAGUGGUAAUGCUUAAAAUACAAGAUACUAAUAGCCUUACGUGUAUUUGUAC
Molecule: ribosomal RNA, 2753 nt
Filed under: compost metagenome
Description: bacterial LSU rRNA
Rfam family: Bacterial large subunit ribosomal RNA
Source: RNAcentral